UACGAAGGGGGCUAGCGUUGCUCGGAAUCACUGGGCGUAAAGCGCACGUAGGCGGCUUUCUAAGUCAGGGGUGAAAUCCUGGAGCUCAACUCCAGAACUGCCUUUGAUACUGGAGAGCUUGAGUCCGGAAGAGGUGAGUGGAACUCCGAGUGUAGAGGUGAAAUUCGUAGAUAUUCGGAAGAACACCAGUGGCGAAGGCGGCUCACUGGUCCGGUACUGACGCUGAGUGCGCGAAAGCCAGGGGAGCGAACGGG
Molecule: ribosomal RNA, 254 nt
Filed under: uncultured bacterium
Lineage: Bacteria
Description: partial 16S ribosomal RNA
Rfam family: Bacterial small subunit ribosomal RNA
Source: RNAcentral